UGCUCACUUGGUGAAAUUGGUAAACACGAUGGAUUUAAAAUUCAUUUUUUACAAAUUAUUGGUUCAAGUCCAGUAGUGAGUAA
RNAcentral lists this transfer RNA (83 nucleotides) under Periphykon beckeri. Its description in RNAcentral is "tRNA-Leu". It matches the Rfam family "tRNA". From Rfam's summary of the family: Transfer RNA (tRNA) molecules are approximately 80 nucleotides in length. Their secondary structure includes four short double-helical elements and three loops (D, anti-codon, and T loops). The record is from RNAcentral. Lineage: Eukaryota; Rhodophyta; Florideophyceae; Ceramiales; Rhodomelaceae.